GCAAGUCGAGCGAUGAAAUCUUAACAGAACCCUUCGGGGCGAAGAUAAGACGGAUUAGCGGCGGACGGGUGAGUAACACGUGAGUAACCUGCCUUUUACACAGGGAUAGCCUCGGGAAACCGGGAUUAAAACCUGAUGAAACUAUCAAAUCACAUGAUUAAGAAAGUUAAAACUCCGGUGGUAAAAGAUGGACUCGCGUCCCAUUAGCUAGUUGGUGAAGGUAACGGCCCACCAAGGCAACGAUGGGUAGCCGGCCUGAGAGGGUGAACGGCCACAUUGGAACUGAGAAACGGUCCAAACUCCUACGGGAGGCAGCAGUGGGGAAUAUUGCACAAUGGGGGAAACCCUGAUGCAGCGACGCCGCGUGAGCGAAGAAGGCCUUCGGGUCGUAAAGCUCUUUUAUAUGGGAAGAUAAUGACGGUACCAUAAGAAAAAGCCCCGGCUAACUACGUGCCAGCAGCCGCGGUAAUACGUAGGGGGCUAGCGUUGUCCGGAAUCACUGGGCGUAAAGGGUUCGCAGGCGGCAAUGCAAGUCAGAUGUAAAAGGCAAAGGCUCAACCUUUGUAAGCAUCUGAAACUGUAUAGCUUGAGAAGUGUAGAGGCAAGUGGAAUUUUUAGUGUAGCGGUGAAAUGCGUAGAUAUUAAAAAGA
Molecule: ribosomal RNA, 650 nt
Filed under: uncultured Clostridium sp.
Lineage: Bacteria; Bacillati; Bacillota; Clostridia; Eubacteriales; Clostridiaceae
Description: bacterial SSU rRNA
Rfam family: Bacterial small subunit ribosomal RNA
Source: RNAcentral